CCCAGACUCCUACGGGAGGCAGCAGUGGGGAAUAUUGCACAAUGGGGGAAACCCUGAUGCAGCAACGCCGCGUGAGUGAGGAAGUAUUUCGGUAUGUAAAGCUCUAUCAGCAGGGAAUAGAAAAGAAGGUACCUGAAAAAGAAGCCCCGGCUAACUACGUGCCAGCAGCCGCGGUAAUACGUAGGGGGCAAGCGUUAUCCGGAUUUACUGGGUGUAAAGGGAGCGUAGACGGAAAGGCAAGUCAGAAGUGAAAGCCCGAGGCUCAACCAUGGGACUGCUUUUGAAACUGUCAAACUAGAGUACGGGAGAGGGAAGAGGAAUUCCUAGUGUAGCGGUGAAAUGCGUAGAUAUUAGGAGGAACACCGGUGGCGAAGGCGGCCUGCUGGACUGCAACUGACGUUGAGGCCCGAAAGCGUGGGGAGCAAACAGGAUUAGAUGCCCUCGUAGC
This 448-nucleotide ribosomal RNA is filed under the name uncultured bacterium. RNAcentral describes it as "partial 16S ribosomal RNA". It matches the Rfam family "Bacterial small subunit ribosomal RNA", at positions 330 to 794 of the family's 1533-position model. The record is from RNAcentral.